CCAAUAGCGUAUAUUAAAGUUGUUGCAGUUAAAAAGCUCGUAGUUGAAUUUCGAGACCGGUUUAUUGGUCGUGCUUUUGUACGUACUGGUAUUAUUGGUUUCUCCUUUCUGACGAAUCUUAAUGCCAUUAAUUUGGUGUUUUGGGGAAUCAGGACUGUUACUUUGAAAAAAUUAGAGUGUUUAAAGCAGGCUCACGCUUGAAUACAUUAGCAUGGAAUAACGGAAUCGGACGUUUGAUUCUAUUUUGUUGGUUUCUAGGAUCGACGUAAUGAUUAAUAGGGAUAGUUGGGGGCAUUAGUAUUCAAUUGUCAGAGGUGAAAUUCUUGGAUUUAUUGAGGACUAACUACUGCGAAAGCAUUUGCCAAGGAUGUUUCCAUUAAUCAAGAACGAAAGUUAGGGGAUCGAAGACGAUCAGAUACCGUCGUAGUCUUAACCAUAAACUAUGCCGACUAGGGAUCGGAUGAUGUUAAUUUUUUAAUGACUCAUUCGGCGCCUUACG
This 499-nucleotide ribosomal RNA is filed under the name uncultured Glomeromycotina. RNAcentral describes it as "partial small subunit ribosomal RNA". It matches the Rfam family "Eukaryotic small subunit ribosomal RNA", at positions 591 to 1092 of the family's 1831-position model. Lineage: Eukaryota; Fungi; Glomeromycota. The record is from RNAcentral.